Long non-coding RNA from Gasterosteus aculeatus aculeatus (three-spined stickleback), 3059 nucleotides. Lineage: Eukaryota; Metazoa; Chordata; Actinopteri; Perciformes; Gasterosteidae. The record is from Ensembl.
GAGGAGAGAAAAUACAUUUCAGUAUUAUUUAUAGGCUUAUUAUACUAUAUAUUGAAUAAAUGCUGUACCACACAGGAAUACGGCUCACAGUUGAGUUCGGUUCCUGCUGAAUAGUCACCUCUUGAGCAUCAACGCAGUUCACGACAAAUUUAACUGUUUAAAACAUUUUUUUUUGCCCACCAUUAAACACUGUUUGGUGCUCGACAAGUUAGCGCCACGCAAGGUAUUGUUGAGCCUCUCAGUGAAGCUGGAGGGAGCUAAAUGGCCUAUUUAAUACCAGCAUUACACAUGUUGGAUAACUGUAGAAAUAGUAACAUUAAUAACAUAAUAAUAAAAUUCGUGCCCCUCUGAGCUCUAAUGUGAUUUUUCUUUGAAAACCUUAUGGGAAACAAAUGUGUUUUGUAAUAUCGUAGUGACAUCAAUGUCUGUUUUUUUAAUGUGGUCUUUUUGACUGAUAAGAUAAUGUCCAAAACCAAGCAAUGUCUUUGUCCUUCAUCCCAUGAAGGGUACAUUUUCAGUCCUUCUUUUUCACAUCCGCUCAGGUCAGCAGGUGUGGAGCUGCAGAGGAGUGACUGACACUUCAGCGGGGCGACGCUUGCUGCCACACAUAUUGGAAGCAUUGCUGAGUCCGGUUGAGACUAAACAUACGGCUCCCUACUGUGCUAACGGCCCGUCAAAACAUGGAGACAUUUUGACGGACGUUUCUUACCAAGGUCAACGUGCUCUUCUUGCCAGGCGGUGUCUGACCGCGUCCCCUCGUCACGCGGUGCACAGAGUUGCGUUGGCGUCUGACAGCUUUUACAGUUCUGAAGAGGGGAAACUCUCCAGUAAAAGAGAAAAAGUGACGGAAGAGUCAGAAGGAAUAAACACAAUUUUGUCUUGCUGAAUUUAGUUUUCCACCUUUCAACCGUUCUAACCAGAUGUAUCUAGCAGAUGACCGCUGGACUUUGCAGCAGCACAUACAGACAUAGAGCACACUUGCAAUCUGUAUUAGCUUGUGAUGGUGAACCGAUGACUCGCUCAUCUGAUCCCUUCUCCGGUAUAUUUGCUUCAUCUUUAAUGACUGCUGCCAAAUCAUUUUUAGAGAAUCGUGAUCAAGCUUCUCUGCUAUUUUGUCCCGUCUGCCAACAGGACGUUGGAGGGUAUUCUGUCCCACCUGUGAAUGGAUGAUAGGCGAGCCCCCUCAUAUUUCAAUAUUGUGCAACAUGCUUGUUAAGUUUGUUCCUCCCCCACUGUACACCUUCUCUACAUGGCAGUUACAGACUGCACCUCAAAGGAAGUGUAAAAAGUGAUAGCACCUGUCAUUUUAAUAAGGAGCCUCUGUGAGCCCUCGGCGAAGGCCUGGCUCAGGCUCACCGCUUCAAUGCGCACAACCCAGUAAUAAGGCUGCCACUGGGUUUAUUCUCCACAGCGAACUCUACAGGGCUCCCUGCACCACUAACGGCCAGAGACGUCAUCGUUUUCAAUGUGCUGCAUGUUGUUUGGUGGAGUUGAGAGCGCUGUGUAGUCCACUCUUACUGACUCAUGGCCGCUGAAGGCGUGCGAUGGAGUGGAGAUGUUGUUGGAUGGUGCGUGAAAUCAUCCAUUUUUCAUUCUGUGAGGAGUCAUGAGGUCAUUGAAUGAGGAGUGUACAAGAAGCAGAUCCUGUAUCAGUCACAUUUGACCGAUAUCCAGGAAUUAAACCAAGCCGUCAUUAGUUAUUCUGACCUCCACACAGGCGAACGGCGGGCGGAGGUAUGUGAACAGUGCCUGUAAAUAAAGCCGGCUGGGUCCAGGGUAUCAUCAUGGAAGAAUGCAGUUUUGCAUUGUGCCAGGUUAGCAAUUUAAUAUCAGCCACAUGCGGUGCAGGAUGAGAUGUAAUGAGUAAGUGUUGCACAGCGCUGGCACAGGUUAGGAUUGUGUGCAUUUUGGUUUGAUGAUGAAAUUCCACUAUGGUUCUAAAAGACACCGAUGCAGCCAGAAAGCACCUGCAGGACGGCUCUGCCCCGUAAUUUGUUUUAAAAGGCAUCUGUGCACAUCGUGCCGUCAUUACCCAAAACUAAUUCAGAGGGGACAUUACUUCAUAGUCUGAGCAGAUGUGGAGGUCCAAAAAAAACCUGCAGUGUUUGAACAAUAACAAAGAGAAAACUGCAGUAAAAUAAGAGUGCUGGGUUUUAUGUAAAGUUGUCAGUCAACUGUCAACUAUUGCCUUUGUCCGAGGUCAUAAAAACCAAACAAAUCCUGAUUGUUAUUAUGAUUACAUUCACUUGAUAAAGUCAACUGAAGUGAAAGUGACCCUUGGGACAUUUUUUGCGCAUCAAUAACUCAAAAAAACACCGUGUGCAGUAUUUUGCUUUUUUUUUGACUGAAAAUAAGUUUGACUGCUCAUUCUAAUGAGGGAGAUGUAGACGUCUUGCACUCUAAGUGGAGCUCUCAGUGCAGCUCUCAGUGCCAGGUGUGCGUUACUCAGACCUGACUGGAGUGUCGGAGCCAUUCAGAGUCAUUGAAGGAGCAAAAACCACAGAAGAGCUUACGCCGCGUCUGUAGAUCUUCCCCCUUCUUUCUUUCUUUUAAAGCUCUGUAUGAAACUCUAGCAGGCAGGUCUUCAGCUGGCUCUGUUUGUGUAGUGACCUGUGUGUAAUGAGGUCUGAUGGCUUGAUGGGGGUUUGGGACUUCUGGGAAAUAGUCGUAAUACGAUUAAGACUGUGACUGCUCUCCGAAAGACAAAAGCCAUGAAAUACCAGCGUUUUUUCGGGGCAGCGGUGCCACCGGUUCACCGAGUCAGUCGUUGUUGACAUGCGACAUUCACUUUACAACACAAUUAACACUCAAUAAAUGUCUUAACCAUCUUGUUAAAGCUGAAUGAGUUCACAACAAAGGUGUGUUUGAGAUUUCGUGUUGUUGUUUUUUACUCUGAUAUGUUCCAAAACAUCCACAGGACACUUAAUUGCAUUAUUACCGUAAUAAGGUUAUCAUAUGAUUUGUGGUCUUGUAUUUGAGUCGGAAAAGUCGAUGCAGACUGCAGCUGCAUUGAGUCCACUGAUUUAGUGCUUUGCUCUUAUGACAGAUGAACAAAGGCG